Molecule: RNA transcript, 2348 nt
Organism: Arvicola amphibius (Eurasian water vole)
Lineage: Eukaryota; Metazoa; Chordata; Mammalia; Rodentia; Cricetidae
Gene: Prkra
Gene name: protein activator of interferon induced protein kinase EIF2AK2
Exons: 9
Source: RefSeq, a predicted model, not a curated record
CUCUCUUCUGGAGAGAGGCAAGCAGCUAUCGGAGCGGGAGCCAGGCAGCAGGGCAGGCAAGCUCCUCUCAGGAUCUGGCCGACGUGGAGAGGGAGGACCCAGAUCCCCACUACUCUCGAUCGCUGUACCCAGCCGUCCCUUCUCGCCAUGUCCCACAGCAGGCAUCGCACCGAGGCCCCGCCGCUGGAGCGCGAGGACAGCGGGACCUUCAGUUUGGGCAAGAUGAUAACAGCCAAGCCUGGGAAAACACCGAUUCAGGUAUUGCACGAAUACGGCAUGAAGACCAAGAACAUCCCAGUUUAUGAAUGUGAAAGAUCCGAUGUGCAAAUACACGUGCCCACUUUCACCUUCAGAGUAACCGUUGGUGACAUAACUUGCACAGGUGAAGGGACCAGUAAGAAGCUGGCAAAGCACAGAGCUGCAGAGGCUGCCAUCAACAUCUUGAAAGCCAACGCAAGUAUCUGUUUUGCAGUUCCUGACCCCUUAAUGCCUGAUCCAUCCAAACAGCCAAAGAACCAGCUGAAUCCAAUCGGCUCGUUACAGGAACUGGCUAUUCACCAUGGCUGGCGGCUUCCUGAAUAUACCCUUUCCCAGGAAGGAGGACCUGCUCAUAAGAGAGAAUACACCACUAUUUGCCGGCUAGAGUCAUUCAUGGAAACUGGAAAGGGAGCAUCCAAAAAACAAGCCAAGAGAAAUGCUGCUGAGAAAUUUCUUGCCAAAUUUAGUAAUAUUUCUCCAGAGAACCACAUUUCUCUAACGAAUAUGGUCGGACAUUCCCUAGGAUGUACUUGGCAUUCGUUGAGGAAUUCCCCUGGUGAAAAGAUCAACUUACUAAAAAGAAGCCUCCUCAGUCUCCCGAACACAGACUACAUCCAGCUGCUGAGCGAGAUUGCCAAGGAGCAAGGCUUUACCAUAACGUAUCUGGAUAUAGAGGAACUGAGUGCCAAUGGACAGUAUCAGUGCCUCGCAGAACUCUCCACCAGUCCCAUCACCGUGUGUCACGGCUCAGGCAUCUCCUGCAGCAACGCACAGAGCGACGCCGCGCACAAUGCUCUGCAGUAUUUAAAGAUAAUAGUAGAAAGGAAGUAGGAGCAGGCAGCUGAGCUCUCCAGCUGCGCCUCCGUCCCCCUCGCACCUCUUCCCGGUGAUACACGUUGAGCGUCCUGUCCUGUCCACGUCUCUUCCGGGUCCGUCGGCCUUCCAGAUCCAAUGUCUCCUGGUAGUUGCUGUUAAGCUCUUUUUAAUGGCUUCAACUUUGUACUGGUGAACGCUCUGACGGACAUUUUCGUUUGGAUGGCUUGUUCUCUGCAUGCCGCUAGCUUACCGCAGAAAUUCAAAGGUAAAAUCCUGUAGCUGAAGGACGAUCCACAGGUAUCUGUGGGCAUCAACUGCUUGAUUUUUUUCCCCUAAGCCUAUGCAACAUUGUGUUUUUCCUUGACACAACCAUUUGUUGGUGAGUUACUGGUUUGAAAAAGUGUUACUACAGAAAUGAUGACAACAGAAACGUUUUCCAAUUCAUUCUAUUCUUUUACCAGAAUAUUUCAAGGACUUGACUUGAUUUAAAGGUUAGAAAAAGAGCAGGAGAUGGCUCAGGGAGUCAGGGGGCUUGCUGCUAACCUUGACAGCUUGCUGAUUCUCAGAACCACAUGGAGGAAGGAGAGAGCUGACUCCUCCAAGUUGUCCUCUGACCUCCACAGGUGUGCUAUGACACACACAUACACACAAUCAAUCAAUACAUAAAUAUCAAAAUACAUGCAUUUGAAAAGCUGUGGGGAAAGGCUGGAAAAGGUUAGAUGCUUAAAUGCACAAUGACCUAGUCCCUUCUGGGAGCGUGGCUGAUAUUCUAUGAGACUUCUCCAUGCUUGCCUUGCUGGAGACAGCCACCAAUCAGUCAUCCUUUCUAGGCAGCCUGCAUUCAAAGAGUCACCGUACUGCCCCACAUUGGGAUAAUCAUAAUCUCAUCUCAGUUCUAGAGUUCCCCAUAUGCAGAGACAGCUGAGUCUGCCUUGUGGGUAUAUUUUGUGGGUGGUUUGGAUUUGACUUUGGUUUUUUUAAACAGGGUCACUACAUAGCCCUAGCUGUCCUGGAACUCACUGUGUAGAUCAAGCUGACUUUGAACUCCAGAGAUCCUCCUGUCUCUGCCUCCCAAGUGCUAGAAGUAAAGGCCUGUACCACUGCACCCAGCCAGAGGCUGCCUUUGUGUUUGUGUUACCCCCACUUCUCCCUCUGCCCCACGGGCUUUCCUUUCCUGCCACAGCUAGCAGCCCCUAAUCUAUCCUCUAAUUUCUUUUUUUAAAAUUAUUUAUUUAUUUACUUACUUACUUAUUUACUUAUUUAUUAUGUAUACA